Molecule: ribosomal RNA, 1142 nt
Filed under: Halalkalibacter wakoensis
Lineage: Bacteria; Bacillati; Bacillota; Bacilli; Caryophanales; Bacillaceae
Description: bacterial SSU rRNA
Rfam family: Bacterial small subunit ribosomal RNA
Source: RNAcentral
GUGAUGACGGGUGCUAUACAUGCAAGUCGAGCGGACAUUUAGGAGCUUGCUCCUAAAUGUUAGCGGCGGACGGGUGAGUAACACGUGGGCAACCUGCCCUGUAGACUGGGAUAACAUCGAGAAAUCGGUGCUAAUACCGGAUAAUCUUGAGGAUCACAUGAUCCUCUUGUAAAAGAUGGCUCCGGCUAUCACUACGGGAUGGGCCCGCGGCGCAUUAGCUAGUUGGUAAGGUAACGGCUUACCAAGGCGACGAUGCGUAGCCGACCUGAGAGGGUGAUCGGCCACACUGGGACUGAGACACGGCCCAGACUCCUACGGGAGGCAGCAGUAGGGAAUCUUCCGCAAUGGACGAAAGUCUGACGGAGCAACGCCGCGUGAGUGAUGAAGGGUUUCGGCUCGUAAAGCUCUGUUGUUAGGGAAGAACAAGUGUCGUUCAAAUAGGGCGGCACCUUGACGGUACCUAACCAGAAAGCCACGGCUAACUACGUGCCAGCAGCCGCGGUAAUACGUAGGUGGCAAGCGUUGUCCGGAAUUAUUGGGCGUAAAGCGCGCGCAGGCGGUCUUUUAAGUCUGAUGUGAAAUCUCGGGGCUCAACCCCGAGCGGUCAUUGGAAACUGGGAGACUUGAGUACAGAAGAGGAGAGUGGAAUUCCACGUGUAGCGGUGAAAUGCGUAGAUAUGUGGAGGAACACCAGUGGCGAAGGCGACUCUCUGGUCUGUAACUGACGCUGAGGCGCGAAAGCGUGGGGAGCAAACAGGAUUAGAUACCCUGGUAGUCCACGCCGUAAACGAUGAGUGCUAGGUGUUAGGGGUUUCGAUGCCCUUAGUGCCGAAGUUAACACAUUAAGCACUCCGCCUGGGGAGUACGACCGCAAGGUUGAAACUCAAAGGAAUUGACGGGGCCCGCACAAGCAGUGGAGCAUGUGGUUUAAUUCGAAGCAACGCGAAGAACCUUACCAGUCUUGACAUCCUUAUGACCUCCCUAGAGAUAGGGAUUUCCCUUCGGACAUAAGUGACAGUGUGCAUUGUGUCGUCAGCUCGUGUCGUGAGAUGUUGGUAGUCCGCACGAGCGCACCCAUGAUCUAGUUGGCAGCAAUCAGUGGCACUCUAGGUGACUGCGUGAUAACCGAGAGUGGGAUGACG